GGAAGUGAGGGGUGAGGGCGGCCUGCUCGAGGAGCUUGGUGGAGGUGUUGAGAAGCUCUGACCAGCCGCCCAUCUCCGUAUCUCCUCCGCCAUCGGCUCCGACGCCGGCCAUCGCCGCCGUAGAUGGAGGUGUUCACGGGGAGCUAUCUGUGCUCCGGCGCCGCGCUCGAACUGGGGGUUUUGGACUGGCGAACCCUAUUGGACGCUCGUUAGCGUCAGAAUGUUGAGCCUUCGCUGAGGCGACCGUCCGGUUGGGCCGGCCCACGUACGGCAUUGUGUUUUGCUCGUCCGCCGUUUCCUGUGUGUUUUUUUCUGUGGUUUUUUCUUUCGAUUUUCUCAAUGUUUUGUCUGGUUUUUCAAUUGUUUUGUUGUGUUUUCUUCAGUUGCCUUUUUUGUUUUGUUUUACUCUCUGGUUAUUUCAUGUUCUUUUUUUCUGGUUUUAUCUUUUUCUUUCUUUUCUUUAUUUUCUUUCUCUUUUCUUUUUUUCAUUUUUCGUCCAUUAAUACUUUAUAAGGAAAUGUUUUGUCGUUUAUUUUUGCAUUAUGAGGAAAUGUUUUGAUGAAUAAUUUGUGUUUCUUGUAUUUAUUUUGUACUUUUUCUUUUUAUUUUUGUGUAUUAUAUAAGAGUUCAUCGUGGAUUACAAAAAUGUUCAUUGUAUAUUUAACAAAAGAUUCACUGUACAUUAGCAAAAUGUUUAUUGUGCAUUUAAAAUAUGUUUAAUGUAUAUUACUAAAUGUUUAAUCUGUAUUUCCAAAUUAUUUAAUGUAAAUGACAAAUGUUCAAUGUCUAUUUUCAAAUUGUUCAGCAUAUAUCGCAAAAUGGUUCCAUGUGUUUUUUCAAAUUGUUCAACGUAUGUCAAAAAAAGGUUCAAUGUGUAUUUAAGAAAUGUUCAUUGUAUAUUACGAAAAUGUUCAAUGUGUAUUUUCAAAUUAUUUAUUGUAUUGACAAAUGUUUAAUAUGUAUUUCCAAAUUGUACGACGUAUAUCACAAAAUGGUUCCAUUUGUUUUCUCAAAUUGUUCAGCGUAUAUCACAAAAGAUUCAAUGUCUAUUUAAGAAAUGUUCAUUGUAUAUUACGAAAAUGUUCAAUGUAUACUAUAAAUGUUCAGUGCUUGGAUUUCUUUAUCUUUUUAUCUAUUACUAUAUUUAGUUCAGAAAUAAUUUGCUAUCCAUGAUGGUAGCUACGCAUGACCCUAAUUUUUUAUCUUUAAUUAUUAUUAUAAAUUACUUUGANNNNNNNNNNNNNNNNNNNNNNNNNNNNNNNNNNNNNNNNNNNNNNNNNNNNNNNNNNNNNNNNNNNNNNNNNNNNNNNNNNNNNNAAUAAAAAAUAAAAAUAAAAAAUUGGGGUCAUGUGUGGCUACCAUCAUGGGUAGCAAAUUAUUUGUGGAUUUGAGAGCUGAUUUCCUUGCACAAUUGUUUGGAUUUUUUUUAUUGAUUCAUGUUAUUAUAUUAUCAUUUUAGGAUACUUUUUUAUAUUUAAUUUCUAUUUUAUAUUAUUUUUGAGCACUAACCUAUUAACCCGGUGUCAAGUACCAGUUGAUGUUUUCUAUAUGUUUUCGCUUUUCAGGAAUAUUGUACCAAUCAAAGUCGAAAUACCCAGAAACUUUUUGAUGAUUUUUUGGACAAAAUAAGACUUGGAAGCUUCACAAAAAGACCAGAAGGCACACGUGGUGCCCCCAAGCUAACAAGACACGCCCAGGGGGUGUUCGCGCCCUGAUGGCUUGGGGCCACCUCCCAGCUCCUCUGGCACUGAUUUGUUUGCUAUAAAUUCAUGUAUAUGUGGAAAACCCUAGAGAGCAUCCCGAAACAUUUUUUCGCUACCGCAAGCUUAUGUUCCGCCGUGUGCCCAUCUGGUCCCUGUUCCGGUGCCUUGUCAGAGGGGGUCGAUCACAGAGGGCCUUUACAUCAACCUUGCUUCUCCCAUGGUGAUGUGUGAGUAGUUAACCACAAACCUGUGGGUCUGUAGUUAGUACCUUGAUGGCUACCUCUCUCUAUGUUCUUCAUUGCCAAGAUCACCGUGAUUCCCGCGGUGAUCUAUCUUAUGUAAUCACUCUUGUGUUGGGCGUUUGCUGGGAUCUGAUGAAUUGUGGGUUUAUGUUCAGAUUAUUCAUGAGAUUACAUUGAGUUCCUUGGUUGUCUUUCAUAUAUAUGCAUGAUUAUGAUAGCUUCGUAAUUCUCUCUGUGCUAUAAAUUUGGUUUGUCCAACUAGAUUAAUUUAUCGUUAGUGGGAGAGGUGUGUUGUAGUGAGCUCAAACUUGCGGUGCUCAAUCCAAGUGACAGAAAGGGUGACACAUAUUGUAUUGCUACCACUAAGAGUAAAACGAUGCGGUUCAUUCGUAUUAAUUGGAUUUACUUUCUCUACAUCAUGUCAUCAUCCUCCAAAGAUUACUAUGUUUUUUACUUAAUACUCUAGAUGCAUGCUGGAUAGCGGUCGAUGGGUGGAGUAACGGUAGUAGAUGCAGGGAGGAGUCGGUCCGGUCUACUUUCUUACGGACAUGAUACCUAUAUGUAAUGAUCAUUUGCAUGAAUAAAUAUUGCAUAACUAUGUGCUUUUCUAUCAAUUUUCUAAUAGUGAUUUUUUACUCACCAUAUGCUUUCUACGAGAGACAAGCCUCUAGCGAAAACUCUGCCCCCCGGGUCUCCUCACAAAUAUAUUUACAAAAACUCUAAAUACCUUGUUGCCAUUAUUUAAUUUAUGUUUAUUUUCUAUUUGUAUUUAUCAAACUAUCUAUCUAUCACUACUUAUCGCUUGCAAGUAAUGAGCUCAAGGGGAUUGACAACCCUCUUGCCCGCGUUGGGUGCAAGUGUGUGCUCUUUUGUGUAGGCGCUCAAGACGGGAAAUUGCUUGGUCCUCCUAUUGGUUAGAUAACCUUGUUCUCACCGAGGGAAAUACUUACCUCUAAUGUGAUGCAUCAUUGAUACUUGUGAUUUGCGUUAGGUUUUCCAUGAAGAGGAUCAGGUAGCACAAUGCGGGUAAGUAUUUCCCUCAAUUAAGAAACCUAAGUUUAUCGAACAAUAGGAAUAUCAAUCCUCAACAGUCUAAAGCGGAUGCACACAAAAGAGCAAACAACUUGCACCCAACGCGGGCAAGAGGGUUGUCAACCCCCUUGAUCUCGCUAUUUGCAAGCAAAUGAGGUGUGUAGAUAAUUGUAACUUGCAAAAUAAAAUAUAAAAAUAAUAAUAGCGAGGAAAUUAUAAGUUUUGUGAAUAUAUAAGUGAAUAGACCCGGAGGCCAUAGUGUUCUCUAGUGGCAUCUCUCAUGAAAGCAACAUAUGGUGAGUAAACAAAUUACUGUUGGGCAAUUGACAGAACAACGGAUAGUUAUGCGAUUUUCACGGCAAUGAUCAUGUGUAUACAUGCAUCACGUCCAUAAGCAAAUAGGUCGACUCAUGUGUGUACUUACUACUAUUACUCCACCCAUCUACUGCUAUCCAGCAUGCAUAUGGAGUAUUAAGUAAAACUAAGUAAUGCUGGGAGAACGAUGACAUGAUGUAGACAAAGUAAACUCAACCAAUAUGAAUAAACCCCGUCGUUUUAUACUUCAUGGCAGCAACACAAAGACGAAACUUGUCCCCUUUUGUCACUGGGAUAUAGAAACUCGCCAGGUUGAACCCACUACAACGCACCCCUCUCACUUAAGAAAUAUCAAACUACUUGGCCAAAGCAAUUCAAUAUAUCAGAGAAAAUUAUGAAGCUAUGAUGAUCCUCUCCNNNNNNNNNNNNNNNNNNNNNNNNNNNNNNNNNNNNNNNNNNNNNNNNNNNNNNNNNNNNNNNNNNNNNNNNNNNNNNNNNNNNNNNNNNNNNNNNNNNNUCAUCAACAUGCAAGGGCUUUGAAGAAGCCUCCGGUGCCAUCACCACAAUGAUGAACCGGCAUCGUGAUCACAUGUAACGGGAAAAUACCAACUAUAGUAGCAUGCAACAAUGUUUGUGCUCAAGUCAUGGUCAAAGGGCUGCUUGCCUUGGUCAGCUAGGUAUCCGGGGUCUUCGAGGUCUUCCGCUCCGGAUCCUCCGUCACUCGGUAACUCUACCAUCGAGAAAGGAAUAAAUAAAUAAUAGCUCACACCAAAACAGAUCACAAGGUGCUUUUAAAAAUGUUGCAAAGCUUGAAUAAAUUCAGUUUAUUAUUUUGGAAAAUGUUUCCUAUGGUUUUUAUUAGCUAAGCAUAUUUAUUUAAAAGCAAACAAGAGCAAACAAAUGCUUUUAAUAUCAUUUUAUUAUACCAAAACAGGUUCUGUUUUUGAUAAAUGUCAAAUCUACAGAAUCAAUUACUACACAUUUUUAGAAAAUUGUUGGUGGAAGAAUCAUAUUUUUCUACUCGCUAAAUAUUUUUAUAAAAAUCAUUUAAGCUGCAGGUUAAAAAUGAAAGAAAAAGGCCAAGGGGGAGACCCAGUCGGCCCAGCCAGCAGACCGGCCACCAAGCGCGCGCGGGCCAGGUUCAAACCUGACUUGCGGGCCCCUGGGUCAGUGUCAGCGGCUGCGCGCGCUGGCUGCCCCAGGACACCGAUAGGUGGGCUCCACCUGUCGGGUCCUUCUCCUUCCUCCAGCCAGAGAGGUGGAGACGGACGUCGUCGAGGCUACCGUUGCCCUCAGGCCAAUCUAGGAGCGGGAAUGGAUCCCUCGUUCUUCCGCCUACCUGCUCGUGGUCGGGACGUCACCGGAGGUGGUCUGGGUCGCCGACGACGAGGUUAUCGUGGCGGAAAGGUUUCGGGCUGGCGUCAAGCUAGUGGCUAGGGGCACGGACCCGCUCGUGGAAGUUGGGGGAAAUGAUCCUGGCGUCAAGGGGAGUGCAAUGGGAGGUCGGGCGGCGCAGGAGCCGGCGUGUAGCCGGAGAUCGACCGGAGCUCCGAGGCGGAGGGGCCUCGGUCGAUCUCGAGCACCGGGGCUCUGCGAGCUCGAUUGGGCGGCUAGGGGGAGUCUAGUGGUUGUGCUAAAGCUGCCUGGGGGGUGCUGGGGUGCCGGGGGGACCUAUUUAUAGGCCAGCGGCGGUGAGCCGACUCGGGCGCGCCGGUGACUCACCGUGGCGCGCGUGCGAGCAAAGUGAGGUGCUGGCCGCGAAACCACGGGUUCGGGACGUGGUUUAGGACCUCUUGGUGCAUCGCCGCAGAGGAAAAGCGAUUGGGGUCGAGCCGCAGCGACCGUGCAUGCUCGGUUGCAUCGGGCGCGCGCGGGCACGCGUCGCCUAAGCUCUUGCGCGAGGAGAGGGGGCCCCUGAUGGUAGCUUUGCACAGAGUGGGUGUCGGGGGAGUGUUGGACAUUACUAGGGGGGGUUGGAACUGGCCGGGGCGACGUCCCCUUGCUGGAGGCUCUCUGUAGCGCGCCCAGAGCGCAGUUUUGGCAUGCCACGGCAUGCUGGCGCGCUCUGGGGCACUUGGCACGUGUCCUCCAUGUCCUGAGUGUUGCUGGGAGUGUGCCUGGUCGUUGUGUGUUAGUGGGAGCACGAACUGGUCAAAGGAGGCAAGGAACACCAGUGUUGCCAGUACUGGCUUGCGGCUCAAAUUGAAGAUCUUGUCACUAGUGCUUGGAGUUGGGGAGGGGCUGGUUGACUAGGUGCUCAGGGUGUUCUGGGGCUAUAACUCACCAAGUUUGGGGCUUUGCCAUUGGGUAAAACAGUGGCUAGGAGGGUUUUUACCUUCCUGUCAAUAGGUGUUCGAUAGUGAUUUGGGGUGCUUCCACUCCAACACUGGAACUGAAACUUAACAGGUUUGGUCUUGGGGUAAAAACAUGGGGUUUCACCAAAUUUGAGCUCCAUUGAACAAGUUUAGCUUUGUAAACUUGANNNNNNNNNNNNNNNNNNNNNNNNNNNNNNNNNNNNNNNNNNNNNNNNNNNNNNNNNNNNNNNNNNNNNNNNNNNNNNNNNNNNNNNNNNNNNNNNNNNNAUAGUUUCAAUGAUAUAUUCGUGCUGAUCCACUUGAACUUGCACGCCACAAUCUUGAUGACAAUCACCACUUGACGUCAUCCUUCAUGGAUUGUAUGAGAUCUUCCUUUUGACGCAAGCCCAUGGAAGCACACCUAACCCCCACAUAGGACUCUCACAAAGAACAUGAGUUAGUACACAAACACGUAAUGGACAAUGCUUACCAUACCAUGGGAUCACUUGAUCCCUCUCGGUACAUCUUAUACGCUUUGUGUGUUGAUCAUCUUGAUUUACUCUUUGUCUGAGAUCUUGAUCAACCUAGUGUCUCUAUGACCAUUCUUUGGAUAAUACCUUGAAUACCAUCUUGGUCAUCAUAUAAACUCCCUGAACCCAACAGAUGGACUUCAAGAAGUGCCUAUGGACAAAUCCUAUAAAUAUAACUUAAGGCAACCAUUAGUCCAUAGGAAUUGUCAUAAAUUACCAAAACCACAUAUGGAGAUAUAUGCUCUAACAAUCUCCCCCAUUUUGGUAAUAGAUGACAACCACUUCAAGAGAGUUUAUAUAAGGAAAUAAGCAUAACCAAGUGCACACAUACAAAGCAAUAAUGCAUGCGUGCAAGAUGUAAAUGCUUACGCAAUAGAAGCAAAACCCUCUAAACAUAUCCAAAGUAAACUCUCUAAACUUCUCCCCCAUUGGCAUCGAUUGCCAAAAUGGACGAAAAGUUUAGAAAGCCAAUAUAGUAGGUGGUCCUCCAAAAAGUGUGUACUUCUCAGCAAAUGAGUGCAGAGAAAUACACAAAUACAAUGAUAAGUAGUUGGAGGAAAACAAACUAUAUUGAGGACCCAAAGAUUGCAAAUAAAAGGAUCGUAUGCCACAAAGACAUACAAAAAAUAGAGGCAAGCAAUCAAAAGAUUCCAGAUGGAACAAACAAUCACAUGGUCCUUUGAACCAUAUGAAUAAAACAUAUUAUGAUAAAGGCAACAUAGUGUUUUAUCAAAAACUAGAGAAGCUCCCCAUGAUUUGUGCACUAAUGCGAGAUUUUUGUAUUUGAUACAGGUGCACAAAAUAGGAUCGUUGCUCCCCCAAAAUUAAUAAAAACACACAACGAGUGCAAGAAGAUAGAUGAGACAAUAAGCAUAUCAAUUGCACAAAACAAAUGGUUGAGCAACAUGUAAAAUAAGCAACUUAAGAAUAGGCUCAACCAAAGUAAUGUGUGUGAGUCAUGGCAAAGCACUUGAGAAGACUAAGAUAAGGAUGAGCAUUACUCAUCAACAUAGUCUUGAUGAAAUGAGAUACAAAGUGAAGACAUAUCAUUCCCACACACACAUACUAGAAAAUGGGUUCACAAGCUUACUAAUAAACAAAAUAAGAACCAACGCUUGUGACAACCCAUUGUGAAGAUAGGAAGUAAGAACCUUGUCAAGAGGAGGGAUACUAAUUGAAAUGGCAAAACCCUCAUCAAGACAAGCAUGAGGAAAAAUAAUCUUCAUGGCCAAAGAGUGCAUCAAGAUGUAGGAAAAUAAGAUACACACUCAAAACAAAUCCUUUCACGAAGCCACCAAAAACUGAAAAAGGAAAUGCAACGGUGGACGUGAAAGAAAAGAGGAUAUCAAUUAGAGAUGUAACUUCUCUCAUGUGUAAAAGAUUCUAAGUAGAAGACCAUCAUGAUGAUAUAUAUCCACAAAGAAGGAUGUACACACGAAAUGGUUACAAGAAGGAACAAACUAGAUAUCCAAAAGGAAGUCAUAAAUAUAUCAAUGAGAUCUUUUGCUUGGAAGCAGCACAUGGCCUAAUAUUUUCUUAUUGUACAAUACGAACUUCCAACAUAUGAACAUCAAAGACAUCCCAACUAGUAGUAAGACAUCAUCGUUCGGAUGCUUUGAGAAAGCAAACAAGUACUACAAGAACGAAUCAAGAGAUUCAUGCCAUGAUGCAACCUGGAAAAGAAAAGACAGGUUGGGGCCUUUGCAAGAAAAGAAUGCAUGAAGUGGAUACUUGUUACCGAGACAACAUUGGAUUGAUGUAGUAGAUAGUUGUUCUUUGAUCAUCCUAACUUGGCUCCAAUAAUCACAUGGUCUCAACACCUUCCUUAUAGGUGAGCCGAGCAUCCAAUGCAUCUCCAGUUGUUCCUGGAAAAACACAACAAACAAAAUGGUGCCCAAACUCAUUGGGACCAAAGAGUUAGAAAACCAGCAAUACAUCGGACAAACUCCACAUACAUAUGUGCAUAUAGAUAUGAAUUUGAAUUUCAUGCACACUUUAGCCAAUUUAUGACAAGGUGGAGUUUCCCCUAUAUAUUGGGUCAAAGAAUGAAAGAAAGAAAAAGAAGUUGUAUUUAGUAGAUAUGCAUGCUCAAGACUCUCAAGAAUCAACUCAACACAAAGUUGAUAAGUCACCAAAAGACAAGGUAUCAAGUGAUAAUAAGAUCCUAAACAAAAAGAACUAUCACUUGAAGGAUAUCAAUUAAAAGAUACCUCGAGGAAUGAGAUAUCCAUUGACACAUGCCAAAUAAAAGGAAACAAGAAACCAAUUGAAGGAAAACAAACACGAGGUAUCUAAUUUCCAAAAGAGAGCUAGGUUCCAACACACCAAGCCCUCGACAAAUUUUCAUGAUGGCACAAAGCAUCGUAAAGAGCAAGACUUGCCUCCCAUCAACACACACUUGAUGGGGAUCAAAAGAUUUUAUGAUGGGUGAAUAAAGAGAGUGUUCCAAAGAAAAUAGGAUAGCUCCCCCAAGGGACGUGCAUUAUAUAGAAUUUGCAUUUAAAUACAAAAAUGCACAAGAUGGGAUCAUCACUUUCUCUAUAUCUAUAAAAACACUAGACAUGUUAAAAUAGAUCCAUAAGAGGCAAGGAAGACAAACGAAACACAAAAUCCAAUGUAAAGACGAUUAGCAAUUCCUAUCACAUGAUGGGAAUACCAAUUGUCAAGGACAAGAAGUAUUUUGGAAGUGAUACUCAUUGGUAGAUCGCAAAUAUAUCCAAGAUCAUCUUUACCCAUAAAACGCAAGCAAAUGACACUUGUAGAGCUAACAUGCCACCUAGGAACAAGAUAAUUUACAAUAUCAACACUAAGUGGCAACACCUCAAAUGUACACAUUUUCUAGGUUUGUAAUAUGCACAUAGCAUAUUACUCCCCCAUAAUGUGAUAAACCAACAAUAUUAACAAGUGGCAAAUUAAAACCAACAAGAGAUAAUUAAUGGACCAUAUAGAAUUUGAAUUUCUCAUGAGUAAGACUCACCACAUAGAAACUAGAUAAUCUUGAAAUAUCAAUAAUAAAGUGGUAUUCCCCAUGUAUACACAUUUAUAGGAUUGUGAGGUGUGCAAAGCACAUCACUCCCCCAUAAUGGGAUAAUCCAUUAAUCUCUCACAAGAGCCAACAAAGAUACAAACAAGAUGCAAAAAGGCUCAAUACAAGACUCACAUGUACAUGAUAUGCAAACCAACAUACACAUACUCGAUUACUCAAGAUAAGCAAGUUGUAAGCACAACAUAUGCAAAAGCAUGCAAGGUACAAAACCACAACAUGCCAAGGGGCAAGCAACUAACAAUGUAAACAAUUUAAGUACAAGUUACCGUAAUGAGGCACAUUGGAUAUAAGAUAGAAACUCGAUAAUCCAAAUGACUCGGCUUGAGAUAAUAUGAAUGAUGAAGACCCCUUAAUUCUUCAUUAUGUAUCCAAGUCUCUAAUGUCCUCCAUAGUCACCUAUUGAUCAAGUUUGAGCUUGUUGGUCUGUAAUGCCCCAAGUGUAGGUCUUUCCCUUUUUGUAACCUUCCAUGUNNNNNNNNNNNNNNNNNNNNNNNNNNNNNNNNNNNNNNNNNNNNNNNNNNNNNNNNNNNNNNNNNNNNNNNNNNNNNNNNNNNNNNNNNNNNNNNNNNNNUGUAAUGCCCCAAGUGUAGGUCUUUCCCUUUUUGUAACCUUCCAUGUGGGGCCACCUUGUCAGAGAUCUUGAUGAUAUCAUUUUGUGCCAUGAUUUCAUGUGUGUUCCUUAGUGCUUACUUCCCUUGCAUGCAUGCAUAUCAUAUCAUUCCUUGCCAUACCUUAUGAUUGCAUGCCAUGAUCAUGUUGCAUUUGUUUUUACUAGGAGUAGUGUUGUGGUGUUGAGAGUGCAUGUGAUCUUGCUAGGGUUAAGUGGUGGUUUUGCACUACCUUGUGAUGCAUGUGAUAAUGGUGGGUGUGAUGUAGGAGUGAGUGCUAGUCAUUUUAAUCUCUUGCUUUUUAAACUCCUUUUCCCUCCUAUUUUUCCCAUGUCAAAAUUCCUUCUUCCCAAAAAUGAUUCUAAAAUGUCUGGUGGUUAGAUAAAAAUGUGUUUAUGAGGGGGUGCAAUUUUUAUGGUUUGUUCUAUGAUUUUUAGAGGUGCAAAUAAACUCAAAACAGUAGGUUAAUUGCUGUUUUGCAUUUAUUUCAAACAUCUCCAAAUAUUGCUUUCCUAUUUUUCCCUACUGGGCCAUUAUUUCUUAUGUCUAGCAGGAUUUUCCUUUAAUUUUUUUAACCCAGUAGUUAUUUUGGAUAAUAUAAUUUUUUCCCUUCCCUCGAUACAUUUGUUUUUCAGUUCACCUAAUUGGAUAACCUCCUGUGUAUUUAUUUUUUUCCCUAGCCCAUUAAGUCUUCUCCCGUGCUGGCCCAGUAGGACUCCACCCCUGGCAACAGAGCCCGCUGUGAGCCAUUCUCUUCUUCCUCCCGACGUCAUGCUGUACGACCUACGCUCCACCUCUCGAUCACUCUCUCCUUGAUCCAGCGGCUCGAGCUCGCCUCCCGAGACGUUCGGGGCCUCCUCCUCCGCCCUAGGGUUCCCACUCCGUUCCCCCCAGCGCCGCCAGUUUCCUCCUUCCCUCGUUCUUCCCUGGUAAGCUUCUGAGAGGCAGCAGAGAGAGAGAGUGCAGCGCCUCCUCCGCUAACCCGCCGUUUCGUCGUCUCCGGCACCGGCCGCCAUGUCCGGGGGCUCGGGGCGGCUCCCCGCGUCCCAUUCCCGGCGCUAGAAGCCCCGGAGAGCGGCCACGCCGACGACCUCGAGCCCGUCCAGGACGUGGCCAUGGUGCUUCUUCCUCCCCGUCGGUCCGGCAGCGCAAGGACGUCUUCGUCGUCGUCUUCUUCCCCUCCGGCGCUCCUCCUUCCUGUUCGGCGCUCCCUCUCCCCCCCCNNNNNNNNNNNNNNNNNNNNNNNNNNNNNNNNNNNNNNNNNNNNNNNNNNNNNNNNNNNNNNNNNNNNNNNNNNNNNNNNNNNNNNNNNNNNNNNNNNNNGGAGAGGAUCAAUCUAUGGAGCCUAACAUCUAAGAGGGGGGAGUGCAUCUACAUACCCUUAUAGAUCGCUAAGCGGAAGCGUAUAUAAUGCGGUUGAUGGAGUCAAACAUCUUAGCGAUCCAAAUCGCAAUCCGUCCCGCCAUCCCGUCACGAUCCGUCGUGCGAUCCCAUCAUGAUCCGUCCCGAUCUAGUGCCGAACGGACGGCACAUUCGCGUUCAACACACGUACAACUCAAUGACGUUCUCCACCUCCUUGAUCCAACAAGAAAGGGUGGAGGGGUAGAUGAGUUCUCCGUCGGCAUGACAGUGGUGGUGGUGUAGCUGUCCCGGUAGGGCUUCGCCAAGCACUACCGGAAUAUCUAGAGGAGGAGACAAUCUAUAGGGAGAGGCUAUGUCGUGGCUUGUGUUGCGACUACCUUCUCUCCUCUCCACUAUAUAUAGGGGGAAGGGAGGAGGGGUGGCGCCCUAGGGUUUUCCCUAUAGUCAGCGGCCAAGAGGUGUCCACCUCCUACAAGGGAGGUGGGGCGCACCCUUACUGGGGAGUCCCUCUCCUCCAGGACUCCUCCCACCUACCACCAUUGCGGCGCAUGGGCCCUUGGGGUUGGUUGCCGAGCCCAUCACGGGCUGGUGCGCCACUUCCUCAGCCCAUGUGCCCCCCCCCCUCGGGAAGGGUGGGCCCUCCAGAUGGACCCCCGAAACCCUUUCGGCACUCCGGUUUAUUACCAGGAACGCCCGAAACCAUUCCAGAGCCCGAAUACCUCUUUCCUAUAUAUCAAUCUUUGUCUCCAAACCAUUCGGGAGCUCCUCGUGACGUCCGGGAUCUCAUCCGGGACUCCGAACAACUUUCGGUUACCACCACACAUAACUCAUUAAUAUCCAAUCGUCAUCGAACCUUAAGUGUGCAGACUCUACGGGUUCGAGAACUAUGCACACAUGACCGAGACACUCUCCGGUCAAUAACCAAUAGCGGGACCUGGAUGUCCAUGUUGGCUCCUAAUAUUCUACGAAGAUCUUUAUCGGUCCAACCACGAUGUCAAGGAUUCAAUCAAUCCCAUAUAAUGUUCCCUUUGUCCAUCGGUAUGUUACUUGCCCGAGAUUCGAUCGUCGGUAUCUGCAUACCUAGUUAAAUCUCAUUACCGGCAAGUCUCUUUACUUGUUCUGUAAUACAAGAUCACGUGACUAACUCCUUAGUCACAUUGCUUGCAAGCUCAUUGUGAUGUUGUAUUACCGAAUGGGCCUAGAGAUACCUCACUAUCAUACGGAGUGACAAAUCCUAGUCUCGAUUCACGCCAGCCCAACACACACCUUCGGAGAUACCUCUAGAGCACCUUUAUAAUCACCCAGUUACGUUGUGACAUUUGAUACACACAAGGCGUUUCUAUGGUGCCCGGGAGUUGCAUGAUCUCAUGGUCAUAGAAACAGAUACUUGACAUGUAGAAAAUAGUAGCGAUAAACUGACACAAUCAUAUGGUACGUUCAUAGUUUGGGUCUUAUCCAUCAUAUCAUUCUCCUAAUGAUGUGAUCCCAUUAUCAAAUGAUAACUCAUGUCUAUGGUCAGGAAACCUUGACCAUCUUUGAUCAACGAGCUAGUCAUUAAAGGCUCGCUAAGGACAAUGUGUUGUAUAUGUAUCCACACAUGUAUUUGAGUUUGCAAUCAAUAUUAUAAUUAAUUUAUUAUUGUCUACAGGGCAUAUUUCCAACAGGACGCUCAGGGCACUGCAGUCGACAGGUGUCCGUCCAACAAUAUUGAUGUUUUACGCAACUUCUUGUGUGGCAACAAUGACGGCAUCGGGGUUUGCAAUUGCUUUUUGAUAGUCCGCCUCAUCUAGCGUGUUUGAGGGGUAGUCGUGCAUGGCUUGUCUAUCUAAAGUCGGGUUGCUAAGAAAGAGCCCUACGAUGACGAUGUCAGAAGACUAACGCAUGGAUAGAUUAUUUGGCAUUUUCUGCAUCUUGAGGGGUAGUCGUGCCUGGCUUGUCUUUCUAAAGUCGGGUUGCUAAGAAAGAGCCCUACGAUGACAAUGUCAGAAGACAGCGAUGACGAAGAAGACAGAUUGUUUGGCAUUGGCUGACGCAAACCUCAAAGCGCUUGUCUACAGCAAUGGCUACAAUGAUGAACCAAUGUUGCCCUGUGAAGGUGUGAAGACAAUGACACUGGAUUACAAUUACAACCUUAACGACCCUUUUCUCCUCGGCAGCGUGUUGUAUCCUUACGUGGGUUGCCAAGUCGCUAUAUGUGCCUUGCUUUGUUUUUACAGGCAUGAUGUUACAGUUUUCACCUGGUCUGUCGUUAAUUAAACAGGCAACUAUUUUCUUCUUAACAAAUGUUGCCAUUUCGAGAGAGAAAACUGUCCGCCUACCAACCAUGCAUGCCGGAGCAAAACCAAGAAGCUGUACCGCCUCACAGGAGAUAAACUGAAAAGAAAACGAGGCUCCGCAAACUUGAAUGCUUUUUUUUUUAGGAACGCACACUUGAAUGUAAAAGAAAAUAAUUCAAAUUCAACACCAAAAAUGACUAGUAGAUGAAUUCUUGAAAAUUAAGCGACAAGACUCGAGAUUCAAGAGGCUGCUGCAACAGCCUUGGAUUUAGUAAUAAAUCAUGAAAAGUGGCAGUUUUCUUGAAUUUUGACACACACAAGAUAGGCCUACAAACAAGACAGACAUGGUUCCACAGACAAACAACCAUGUCCACGCACCAUGGAGCUUUAAACCUUCAACUACCUGUUCAAAUGGUGUUGGGGAAUGGGGAGCUUCCGAUACAGAUAGCCCAUUUCCCUAGCACUUCAGGCCAAACACAAACUAUUCAUAUGCACUGAGCCACCUUCUGGUACAAAUCCUGUGGCCAAUUCCUGCUCAUGUUGCUUGCCACAAGGUUCGCAAUCUGCUCAUCGCAAAAAUAUUGCAUCAGAAAUUGCAGGAGCAUUUCUGUUCCGAUUUAGGAACGUAAAAACAGUUGGCACUUUUUCUUCCCUGGUGAUACCGACAGAAAAAUAAGUAUACGUAUGCAUAGUUAGCAUGAAUGCUGUGUUGUGCACCAGGAAAGGUCUAAUAUCACUCUGUAUUUUCCCUUCUCCAGCUGGUUCAGUUUUGCUAGAGGCAGUCUUUAGAAGCCUGCACACUCACCAUGGAUAAAAUUAUCCUGCAGCUACAUAUCGGCAUAAGGCUAGGCAUAGCUACCAACCUGCCUGAUGGUUGGUUGCUAAGCACAUUUCGCAACAUGUUGGUAGGCCAACACGUGUUUGCCAAAUAGGGACUCUAAAUUUGCCAGAUGUUGGCUUACCCACGUGUUGCCUACGUCUUGGCUAGCCAAAAAUUGGCUAGGGUUAAAUUGGCUACAAAUCAACAGGAUAGACACAAUUGAAAAAAAACAGGAUAGAGAAUACCUUUGACUUGACAGCACGCAGGGUCCCAUCGGUAUCUCUAACAUUGUCCAUGCAGUUUAGAGCAACCUUCAGGAGAUCUGGCACACAAGCUUGAACAUGGGGUGAUAAAUUCCUGAAUACAUCGACUGAUACAUUCGGAGACUGUGGAUCCAAAUGAAGAAAUGGAAGUUUGAUGGUUUCCCUCAGAGCGUCAACAGUUUGUCCAGCACGAGCUAGCCUAUAAAUGUGAAGAAUAGCUUCAAGCUGUCUCAGUACAAUUUGCUGUUCAGAAAUGAGAUCCUUGUCUUGAACACUGCAAGCGAGUUUCCACAUGAUUAAUUAAGUUUUCAAAGCAUAAAUAACCAACAGUCACAUGACGUAAAGCAGAAGAUAGGAGGUAAUUAACCUGGCUUCAGAAGAAUAUCUGGCUGUCUCCAAAAUUUCAUUGCCAGAUUGAAUUAGACCAACAGCACGGCUUUCUCCAUCUAACAUAUUGUGUGCCAGGGCACAUACUGCAUCCGAUAAACACUUGUUUACUGUCUGAAGUGCCAUGGCAAAAGCUCCAACUCUUUUGUGGAUUUCCACCGACUGUUAUUUCAUGUAAAAAGUAAAGUAACAUGAGAUGGAUACAUGAUAGCUCAAACAAGACUGAAUUGCUGCAAAUUAAAAUAUGUCCUCUCAUAGAGUAAAUAUACUUAUACUACAUAGCUCAAUAACAUGAAGUAAAUGGAUUCAGAUACAUGCGCAUCACAUCGAAGUUGAUAAACCAUGCAUGGACAUAUGCCAAUGAAGACUAAUUGAUGGCAUGUCAUCUUGAGAAUACUACUGCAGAAUAUGAUAUGAUAACCAGUGUUCAAGCAGCUAGAAUCAGUCCUAAGACGGGUCAUGUCGCUUUAAGAGCAGAGAAGUUUGAUUCUUUCAACUCAGCUAUGAACGUGAUGAGAUAAAUAAUUCAAUAGAAAUAUAAGUCCAUGACAGUAAUAAAAUAACUUGUGCUCUUGCUGAUCCUUUUGUGAAUCCCAACCUAGGAAGAUACAAAAUAAAAUGUUCCCUAAAUAAAGCAGAAUAACCCAAAAAAUUCUGAAACCAUUUGGGUUCAAGAAUUAAACUUACUUUGUCAUAGAGCCCUGCCUCUUGACACCGAUGGGCGGCUUCAAGCAAAAAUUGCUGCCUACUUCUCCAGUCCAUCAUGUACUUUUUUAGUUCUCCUUCUUCUCCCAUUCCACUUGGACCAAGCAAAAGUUGAAUACCACCAUCCCUUAGUAAUAUCUCUGUGAGCAGUUGCUUCAACAUUGAACUUCGUUGACGUUGUUGAUCAGCAUUCCCUUGACCAAUCCAUGAUACCUCUCCUCCACCCAUUGCAGCAGCAGCCUGUGCAUAAUACUCCAAGGCCAAAUCAAGGUUGCCAUUGCGCAAGUAAACAGAGCCAUAUUGCCGUAUAAUACUGGCAGCUUCUGCGCAAGCAUCCAUUACACCCAUCUUCUGGCCUGAUCCAACUCCCUCAGGGAGAAUACCAUGAUCGGCCAGAGUAAUUGAAAUAUGCACAGCAUCAACAUGGUAUCCUUCCUCUCCAACUUCUUUAGACAAAUAAAGAAUUGCUGGAAGUGAUUGGAUGCUUAAGAGCAGAAUAUAGGGAUAGACCAAGGGAUCUUUUCCACUUUUUGUAUAAUAUGAUGGCUCAAAUUUGUUCAAAUAAUUUUGUAAAUCCUCCAGCGUAUAAGGAACCAAGCCUUCACUCACAACAUUAGAAGAAGAUGCACUGGAGUAUUCCCGCAGAGCUGACAACUUGAACCACAAGAAAUCCUCUAUAGUAUUGAAAAGUGUUGGCAGAUCUUUAAGUAAUCUGUCAAUUUGCCGUCGACAGCCACAAAUUAUGGCAUAAAGAAGCAACUUCUUCCUAUCAUAACCAGGACGCCCUGGUCGGUCACCCAUUCUGAGCAUUUUUUCACAUUCCUCAGAAGCUGUCAGAGCAGUCUCUGAUGACACAGCACCAUUAGUAGUAAUCCAUUCUGCAAGCUGCCAGAGAACAUAUUAUAUGUACUUUUCCUAUUAAUAACAAGUCGACAUCAUUAUUCAUGGAUACUUUACCAGAGGGGCGAAGUUGUAAGCAGCACGAGAUGAUUGAGCAACUUGCCUUGCUUCAUCAUAAUACCCAGUUCUUAAGCAGAAAUAAAUCUACAAAAGAUGGAACAAUAAUGCAUUAAUACAUUUCUCGUUGAAAAGGUACGUACAGAACUUGUAAAGGUCAUAAUAAAAACAAUGAGUUGCAUGAUGAUGAUAAUCCUAUUGUUUUUUUCUCAUGCUACUCUGAAUUAACCAUGUGAUGCUUUAAUCCCACUGACUGGAACAUGUGGAGUUGAUUAGAUGUGAUGAACUGUUCACUAGGAUAUCUUGUGAUAAUUCUAACAUUCUAUAUGGCAUGCCAUGCUUGAUAACCCUAUAUACUUGUCUUGUGCUAUGGAUAGGAUUUCUGAGAUUAAAUCUUUGAGAUCUAUUCAUAGCACCUAUGCCUAUCAACACAAGUUCAGUUUGAUUUGUGAGUAUGGUAUAGAUGACAAGUUCUUGGUUUGAGAACCAUCUAGCAUCAAACAACAUAUCUCAUAGGUGUGUAAUCACGAAAUAAAAUUCAAAUAAAUUGAAUGGCCCCAACAAGAAAUCAUUUUCUGUGGUGAUUGAUAAAUUCUAGUAAGUCCAAAAAUAGGUCAGUCAAUGGCCUACCAUAUGCAUGGUUUCAUGACAGGCCUGAGAAUAAGUUGAACAGAACAGUCUCCCUUUAAAACCAAUAGUUGGACCAUGCUUCAUCUUGAUGCUCUAAUGAAGUGAUAUGCUAAACGUAUCAAUUCCUUGAUUACUGCUCUUAUCUUAUUCUAGUGGCAAUUUUCCAUUUAACCUAUUCAACUUAUUUUCAUGAGUUUUAUGUUGCCAUUACUAGAUAGAAAAAAAAAUGAUGUCCGCUGCAUUUUUUAUUCGAUGUUUAGUAGUACAAUCAAACAGGCAAAUUAAACCUGCUGCCAUGUUGUAUCCACUGGUGGCUGUCUGCGAAGAUCACUUGCAUCAAAGUCUAACACGCCAUGAUCCCUCAACCGGACCUGUCAAUUCAUACAGAUAAAAAAUUUGUAUUUGGUUACAGAUUAAAACAAUGCAGAAAAAAAGGAGGGUUAAUCAUCAAACUCAAAACAGACCCGAAGAAAUGCACGAAUUUUUUGAAGAUUGCCAACCGAUCCACCAAGAGCAGCCUAGAAUCACAAAGCAUAACACACAGAUUAACCAUAAUCAAUCUUUUACAUUAACAGGGUUCACAAAAUAUAAACCAACAAUAAAGGAAAAGAUCAUUUGGUUAGAAAAACUAUUAACAGGAUGGUAGAGGGCUAAUUGAGAAUUUGAGAUAGUACAAAAAAACUAAUAAAUGGAUGCAAGAGUAAAUCAAACAAUUUUUUUUUAAGAAAACACAAAAGACUUGUGUUUCAUUGCAUUGAAAAGGUGGAGUUUUGUUACAAUCCUCCUAGGAGGUCAAGUACAAGUGAAAACAUUGAAACUAGUGCACAUCCCAUGUGGAUGGCAGGAUGACGCGGAGGCCGUGUGCGCCGGCUCUUGCCCACUGUUCGGCCUCUUCCUUGAUCUUGGAUACCAGGGCAUUGAUCUUGGAUACCAGAGUUAAUCAAACAAUCACCACUGACUUCAUCACUAACUACACUAGUAAGUAAAAAAAAUCCUAAAUAGACAGGCAUAUAAGAUCCACUCCAUCUUCAGGGAACUCAAUAACGAAAAGCGACAUGAGAGCACUUGAGAUGCCAAAUUAACACAAUGUCAUAUGUAUAGAACAGAAAUACCAAUAGGCUAUACCACAACACGGGAAAAAUCCAGGUAAAUACAAAACAAAUAUCAUUAUUCAGAAAUCUUACAUAGCACUUGGGAAAUCUUUUUUCAUUUUCAGAAGUGAAUUUGGAUAGAAAUGUUCAGCAAUAAAAUGCUACACAGAAAUACUCACUAGUGCUGGCUGGCUGUUGAUGGUCUCAAUUAUGUAUUUCUCAUAACCCCAUUCAAGGUGUUGCCUUGCUCCAACCACUAGUGACAUUUUUCUUGAAACGUUUCUAUGAGAAGACCCUUCCCCUACUAAGGCCUGAAUUAGACAAACAGGGAAAGCACCUUAAAUAAAUCACAGUGAAAUAAGAGAAACAAGGAUAUGUCAUAGACAUUAUAUAGUUGAUGUUGCAUCCUGUAAUACUGUUCUAUACAAUUAAAGGGUUAUUACCUGAAUCAAGUGCCACACUUUCUGCAUGGUCACUGACUUUGAGCCAGUGGCAUCAAGAGACAAGGACUCGUAAGCAGCUCUGAAAGCUGUAGCAGGCUAACAAAAAAAAAGGUCCCAGUAAGCAUUUGUACAAUUUGGUGCAUCAAGAGAACGUAUUGCCCCGAUGAUAGCAUACAAAAAUAGACACUUAAGAUAUUAAUCAAACCUAAAUUAAUUGGAGAAAAACAGGAUGACAGGCAGACAUGAAUACUAAUCUGCACAUGCCCAAUAAAGCGCUGACAUAUCAAAUCUUGACAUAGAAGCUUACACUGAAAGGCAGACUGCGUCCUCUAGCAUCGUUGAGAUCCUUCACAACCCCCGCGUAAACUGAAGAUUUACUAUCAAUUAUGGUCUUGUUAGGUAUGGGCAUUACUUCCUCAGCAGGCAGCCCUGAUGAAGCUUGAGGACUGGAAGCUGAAGAUGGCAUCAGAGCAUGACGAGACAGACCACCAGCUAGAUUGGUGUUUCUCUUUGGUAAUGUAGAAAGUCGGCUUAGACUCUGCAAAAAAUCUCUCUUCUCCUUCUGCCAGUCAUCCUACAACAAAGUUACUAAAAAAUGUUAGAACUGGACAGUAAAGGUAUGUUUGGAUUGUAAAUAAAGUGUACCCUGCCAAUUCUUUGGUAUGACCAAAACAUUGGUCUUUUUUUGGAUGAGGACCAAUAUUUCGGCAUGCCAAUGCUCCUUUCCCAACCUAGUUCAUUUAAUUUUUUCUAGCCAAUGUUGGCUGAUUCAUGGGCAAGCAAAACCUCAACCAAAAAUUUGGUUAGCCAAUUUUUUGGUAGGGCAACCUUGACACAAACCAAACACACCCUAAAACAAAUCAAAGCAUCCACUACCAAAGCAUAUUAAAUUGCUAAGUUGUCAGCAUAGCAACUGAAAAAUGAAGGCAUUAGCUCAAUGGUAGAACUUGCUCUGAGCUGUUAGUUACAACACCUAGCAUUACAAAACUACCACAAAUAUUGCUACUUUCUGAAAGGUGCAACAGAUUUGAUUCAAAUAAGACGAACUAAAGCACGGAUGGUAGUGGUACAGACCUCAAAGGCUACCCUGACAUAUCACAUAUAUCAAGAUGCUCCAAAAGGUUGCAAUAUUAACUUAUGAAGGCAUUAUCGUAGCUACUAGCUCUGCUACAAAAAUAAAUCUGAAUAGAAUACAAGCAAAAGGCAACAAACCUCAAGAACUUGCAUCAUAUAAUUGUUAAAACUCUUUAAGUUGUCCUUUUGUGCUCCUUGGAUGGAUGAGACAAUUGCCAUUUCAUGAAGCUGAAACCACAAACUCGGUGAUGCACUCCAUGAAAUUCAGAAGAAAAAUAGCUAAAGAGAGAAAAGGUGUUCACCUGUUGCAGGUAUUCCUCGACAGAAGUUGCUUCCGAUGGAAAAACAUCCUCAAAGGUGGUCUACAAUUAAAAAAAAUGCCACUAUGAUGUAUACUGAUAACAUGUUGCCUGAGUGAUAUUCAAGAGCUGUAGAUGUACAGUAACAAGCAAGCGGAUAUAUACAUUGACCAACAGGGUAGAAAACAAUAUUGAGGUAAUACGUGCUGGCCUAAUUGGUGGCGAAAGAUUGUUACACUAUGAUAAGUAGUAAAAUCUGACUUGACCACUCACAACAAUAUUUUCUGACUUUGAGUAGGAAACUUUACAUGAAAACACUACAUUGCCUCAACUGAGACUAGAAAACAUUGUUUCAGAUAAGCGAGUGAUUUGCAGCCUCCAGACAUAGGGAGUGUGUAUUAAUAAAGUGGAUUACAAGCUCAAAAAAAGACUAGGGAAUGUGUGUCUAAAAGUUAAACUAGGAUCUUAUGUAAGAAGCUAAGAAGGUGACGUUAUUCAUGUUAUUCUUUUCUUUCAGGCAACCAGCACGAGUUCUGCCUCUUCGUGAAGUAAGGAAGUUAUUAAUACUGCUAAUCGAAAAAAACAAGUGAAGAGCCCCGAUAGUCGGCUAUGGAUGAAAGAAAAAAGAGUGCAGCACAAAAUGUCAAGACUACGAAAAUCAACUGCCUCGUCUAAACGACCGACACAUAAGAUUAUCUAUAUAGCAUUCUCUGAAAUGAACCCUGCAUGCAUUUUCCAGGUUUACAAGCUAAUCACCUUGAGUUCGAAUGACUUGAGGUCUCUGGUGAGCUGCUCAGCAUUGAUCCCCUCGCGCGCCAGCAACCUGCAGAUGCACAGCCGAAACCCUAAGUCCAAUCCAAAACACCAGAAGCGGCAAUCCUGAUUCGAACGAAACACGACGGGGAGAUGGGCAGAGAGGCUCUCUCAGAGUUAACUAAAGGGGUCCAGGAGAGCAACCUGGUGGCGGAGAGCGACUGUGACGGCGCCUCGGCGCGGAUCGUCUUGGCCUUGAGCUUGGUGGAGAGCACCUCGAGCUGGUCCAGGUUCCUCUGCGCGGGCCAACAACAACGAACCCAUCAGGCGGAAAAAAGCAAGGGAGGCUCGGGCGCGGCAAGAGAUAGAUGCGGGCGAGGAGGGCAAGGAAGAGCGCGAUGCAUCACCUGGAGGGCAGGGAAGUGAGGGGUGAGGGCGGCCUGCUCGAGGAGCUUGGUGGAGGUGUUGAGAAGCUCUGACCAGCCGCCCAUCUCCGUAUCUCCUCCGCCAUCGGCUCCGACGCCGGCCAUCGCCGCCGUAGAUGGAGGUGUUCACGGGGAGCUAUCUGUGCUCCGGCGCCGCGCUCGAACUGGGGGUUUUGGACUGGCG
This 21439-nucleotide long non-coding RNA is filed under the name Hordeum vulgare. RNAcentral's name for it is "long non-coding RNA (HVUL_LNC011764)". The record is from RNAcentral. Lineage: Eukaryota; Viridiplantae; Streptophyta; Magnoliopsida; Poales; Poaceae.